This is a non-coding RNA of Myotis brandtii (Brandt's bat), 75 nucleotides long. NCBI's taxonomy places the organism in Eukaryota, Metazoa, Chordata, Mammalia, Chiroptera, Vespertilionidae. The record is from Rfam.
GGUGGUUCUCAGGUGACACACUCCAGAAUUGGACUCCCUUCUCUCUGGUUCUGGGUCCAUCACCCAAGAACUGCU